Molecule: long non-coding RNA, 661 nt
Organism: Brienomyrus brachyistius
Lineage: Eukaryota; Metazoa; Chordata; Actinopteri; Osteoglossiformes; Mormyridae
Exons: 2
Source: RefSeq, a predicted model, not a curated record
CUUCAGCUGCUGCACAGUACCUGCGCACCCCCGCUUCGUACAGUAUGCUGCACCUCGCCCACCUGCCCCCAUCUACCUGCCUGGUAACCACGUGCUCAACAAGUGGCUGGCAGGGAACAAGGGAAACGCUACAGACUGACAACAGGGGAGGACAAGAAAGACUGACAACACGUGGGACGAGAUGACCAAUGACACCUACUGGCCAAACAUGGAAGGGACACAGAAUGGGACAGUUAAAUAACAUUGGGAUUCCCUGAAGGGUUUGGCAUUCCCUGAAGGGUUUGGCAUUCCCUGAAGCCAAGCUGUUAAUUAUUGUACUCCACGCCACCUCUGGUGAUUGAAUUGCAAUGUAAUGAUUAUGUUGUUCUAUAAUCUUAUUGAAUAAGUGUUAUAAGUUGUUAGAAGUUAUUUUUGUAUUCUUUUAUACUUCAUUUUUAACAGUGUGAUUUUUGACCUGACAGCUUUGUUUGGCAGUAAAAAGCUUUAAGGGGGCAGUUUAAUGGCUCUAUACACAGCAAUGUGUAUAAUGGCCAAAGUGUUCUUAUUGAAUAUGCUUAAAUUAUUUUUGUAUACAUUUACAUUUUUAUUUUACAGACUUUAUGUAAAGGCAACCAGUGCUUAAAAGUUUAACGUUUAAAUAAAUGUCUUAUUUGGAGAACAA